GGGAAGGUGGCUCAGUGGUAGAGUGCUGGCCUUGUAUGCAUGAGGCCCUGGGUUCGAUUCUCAGCACCCCA
Molecule: transfer RNA, 71 nt
Filed under: Dipodomys ordii (Ord's kangaroo rat)
Lineage: Eukaryota; Metazoa; Chordata; Mammalia; Rodentia; Heteromyidae
Rfam family: tRNA
About the family: Transfer RNA (tRNA) molecules are approximately 80 nucleotides in length.
Source: Rfam by way of RNAcentral